This is a long non-coding RNA of Panthera uncia (snow leopard), 524 nucleotides long. RefSeq lists it as uncharacterized. The record is from RefSeq and is a predicted model, not a curated record. The transcript is spliced from 2 exons. NCBI's taxonomy places the organism in Eukaryota, Metazoa, Chordata, Mammalia, Carnivora, Felidae.
UGAUGUCAGAGUUGGAGGCAUGUUUGGGACCACCCACUCAACUGUCUUUGUCACUCACUCGACUGUCCUUAUAACCCAGAGAGGUGCCGGAUACUUACUACCCAAGCUGCUGAGUUGGGGGCAGAGUCGGUGCGAAGUCCCAGCUUCCUAAAUCCUCAGCCCUCCAGGGCUAUCUCAUUGACCGUGGCUGCCCUCCUCUUCCCUUCGCUCUGCCCUGCACCCCACCUCUGCUGACUGAGCCCCGCUCUGGACAGAGGAGGCCUGAGUUCCUGCCCUCACACCGUCCUCAACACAGAGUGACCACCAGGGACACCUGCCCUUCGCUGAGUCUUUGUCUUCUCAUUGCCAAGUGGAAGGCCUGCAGGUUAUCGCAUCUCCUGUGUCGUAUCGUUGCCACGUCCUUAAGAUAGGGGCCUCCAAAAGGCAGAGAUCCCGGAUAUGGGCGAACUAGCCUGUGUAACCAACCAACAAAGCAGGAACGCCAGUGGCCCAACACAAAGGAGGCUUCUUUCUCCCUUACGUAA